GGGUGGUGGCUGAUAUUUGUCUCUAUAUAUCAUUUGAAAUCGUAUAUCUAGCUAGAAUGUUAUAGAGUUUGAGUUAAAGAGUUCUUGGGGAUUUAAUAUAAUUUUUCUGUAAAGAUACUCGAGCAAAUUAUCUAUUUUGUCACGCUACGCGAGCAAAUGUGAGGGCUGCAGCUCUCGUACGGCGACUAGCUUUUUCCUUCCUUCUCCCUUUCACGCAUAUUAUAUUUAAAUUUUAAGUAAUAUUGAUAGAAAUACCAUGAUCAUAAAAGUUUGAACUCCGAGUAUUAACCUUCAUCAAAAAAAAAAAAAAAGUAAAAGAAAACUCCAAGUGUUAACUAACUACUAGAUUCUGAAAGCUUAACCAUGUCCAAUAAAUGUUACCCACUACAUUAAUUCUCACGUGCAGCAUGGACCACGGAUAUUAAGGUGCAAAAAAGUCAAGAACCACUCAAGACAUAAAACAAACCGGGAACAAGUCAAAAAAGAAAAUAUUCAAAAUAACAAACAGGUGGUAUAAAGAAAAAUUGGUAUUAAUGGGUUUUGAACUUAUGGCCUUUGUGUCUAACAUUAUUUUAACUUGUCAUUAAAUUAAAAAACCUAAAGAUCUUUCAAAUGAAGUGGGGUGACAACCUACUACUCCCUGGAAUCUUGUUUUCUUCCUUCCUGGCAUUCCCAUUUUUAAUAAAUACAAUUUUAUUGAUUCACCUUAAAAAAUACCAUUUCAUGUAUUUGUCAAGUCAAAAAAAAAAAGAAUCAGAAAAAUCUUCAAAUUAAAAUGAAAAAAGAAAAAUCAUUUGCUUAAUUAGGUGACACCCAUGCACCUAUAGUAUGUCUCAAGCAACUGAUAUCAUGCUGCAAGUUGGAGAAUCUACUCGAAUAUAUUACUCCUAGCUAGAACACAAGAAUAUCACUACAAUGUCUUAUCUAAUUCAAAGGAAUCGC
RNAcentral lists this long non-coding RNA (942 nucleotides) under Elaeis guineensis (African oil palm). RNAcentral's name for it is "long non-coding RNA (EGUI_LNC019683)". The record is from RNAcentral. Lineage: Eukaryota; Viridiplantae; Streptophyta; Magnoliopsida; Arecales; Arecaceae.